RNAcentral lists this transfer RNA (66 nucleotides) under Rhomboptera ligata. RNAcentral describes it as "tRNA-Phe". Lineage: Eukaryota; Metazoa; Arthropoda; Insecta; Orthoptera; Tettigoniidae. The record is from RNAcentral.
AUUUAGAUAUCUUAAGGUAAGAGUAUAACACUGAAGAUGUUGAGGUAGUUAAUUAACUUCUAGAUA